CGGGGUAUAGCGAAGUUUGGUUAUCGCGCAUGACUGGGGGUCAUGAGAUCGCUGGUUCGAAUCCAGUUACUCCGA
This 75-nucleotide transfer RNA is filed under the name Lachnospiraceae bacterium. RNAcentral's name for it is "tRNA-Pro". It matches the Rfam family "tRNA". Rfam says of the family: Transfer RNA (tRNA) molecules are approximately 80 nucleotides in length. The record is from RNAcentral. RNAcentral also lists the same sequence under 4 other names. Lineage: Bacteria; Bacillati; Bacillota; Clostridia; Lachnospirales; Lachnospiraceae.